This 353-nucleotide ribosomal RNA is filed under the name uncultured Tomentella. RNAcentral describes it as "eukaryotic LSU rRNA". The stretch from base 1 to 72 matches the Rfam family "5.8S ribosomal RNA", at positions 84 to 154 of the family's 154-position model. Lineage: Eukaryota; Fungi; Basidiomycota; Agaricomycetes; Thelephorales; Thelephoraceae. The record is from RNAcentral.
GUGAGUCAUCGAAUCUUUGAACGCACCUUGCGCCCUCUGGCUAUUCCGGAGGGCAUGCCUGUUUGAGUAUCAUGACGCCUCAACUCUCACGGCUUGCGUGAUGAGCUUGGACUUUGGGGGUCUUGUUGGCCUGUGAGCCAGCUCCUCUUAAAUGAAUCAGCUCACCAGUGUUUGGUGGGUACCAUGGGUGUGAUAACUAUCUACGCUUGUGGUUUCCCACCAGGUAACCCUCAGCAGUUGGAGGUUCAUUGGAGCUCAUAGAUGUCUCUCCUCAGUGAGGACAGCCCUUUGAAUGUUUGAUCUCAAAUCAGGUAGGACUACCCGCUGAACUUAAGCAUAUCAAUAAGCGGAGG